Molecule: transfer RNA, 65 nt
Filed under: human gut metagenome
Rfam family: tRNA
About the family: Transfer RNA (tRNA) molecules are approximately 80 nucleotides in length.
Source: RNAcentral
GGGGUAUAGCCAAGUGGUAAGGCAACGGACUUUGACUCCGUUACGCGGUGGUUCGAUCCCACCUG